This 627-nucleotide ribosomal RNA is filed under the name Triticum aestivum (bread wheat). RNAcentral's name for it is "partial small subunit ribosomal RNA". Lineage: Eukaryota; Viridiplantae; Streptophyta; Magnoliopsida; Poales; Poaceae. The record is from RNAcentral.
AUGCUUGUUAGCACUAGCCUCUCCUUAUUUAGUUGGCCGGUUGGAAGUGAUACUUGGUCCGAACUCCAGUGUUCUGGUGUACAAAUAAUUCAGAUUGUGGAAUUCAAGGACCAAUUCAUUGCCAUGGAUCUUCGUCAACAGGUAUACACUUUGGAGAUGGCCCCCAAGCUUAGACUGCAGGAAAUAUCCACUAACCGCCCCCCUGACUUGACCAAGAGUUGCCAAGACCCAUCUAAAAUAUCAUGGCUAGUGGUCUGCGGUGACAUGCUUCUGAUGUUGGUCCAUUCUUGCACGAGUAUUCAGUACAAUGCCAGUGUGCCAUUUAUCCGCACGGUCCAUUACCUUGACAUGUCAACCAAGCCUGCAAAAUGGGUGGAUAUGGAAAAGCUGGACAAUUGGGCCAUCUUCACGGGGAGUGAUAUCAGGAGUACGUCAUUUUCUUGCAUGAACCCAGAACAUUGGGGAGGAAGGAGCAAAUGUCUAUAUGUUGCUCGUUCCCCUAAACCUUGGAGUGAAUAUGGGUUAAGCAACGAGCCAGAUCCAUCUGUUGAUCCCGUCCAUCAGCACUUCAGGAUGAUGCAACCCCUUUGGGUGUACCCGAGCAUGCUCUAUUCGAAUGGCCCUUGA